RNAcentral lists this ribosomal RNA (441 nucleotides) under uncultured bacterium. RNAcentral describes it as "partial 16S ribosomal RNA". It matches the Rfam family "Bacterial small subunit ribosomal RNA", at positions 338 to 795 of the family's 1533-position model. The record is from RNAcentral.
CCUACGGGAGACAGCAGUGGGGAAUAUUGCACAAUGGGGGAAACCCUGAUGCAGCGACGCCGCGUGAGUGAAGAAGUAUUUCGGUAUGUAAAGCUCUAUCAGCAGGGAAGAAGAAAGACGGUACCUGACUAAGAAGCCCCGGCUAACUACGUGCCAGCAGCCGCGGUAAUACGUAGGGGGCAAGCGUUAUCCGGAUUUACUGGGUGUAAAGGGAGCGUAGACGGCUGUGCAAGUCUGAAGUGAAAGCCCAGGGCUCAACCCUGGGACUGCAUUGGAAACUGUGGAGCUAGAGUGCUGGAGAGGUAAGUGGAAUUCCUAGUGUAGCGGUGAAAUGCGUAGAUAUUAGGAGGAACACCAGUGGCGAAGGCGACUUACUGGACAGUAACUGACGUUGAGGCUCGAAAGCGUGGGGAGCAAACAGGAUUAGAUACCCCUGUAGUC